GACGAACGCUGGCGGCGUGCUUAACACAUGCAAGUCGAACGGAAAGGCCCUGCUUUUGUGGGGUGCUCGAGUGGCGAACGGGUGAGUAACACGUGAGUAACCUGCCCUUGACUUUGGGAUAACUUCAGGAAACUGGGGCUAAUACCGGAUAGGAGCUCCUGCUACAUGGUGGGGGUUGGAAAGUUUCGGCGGUUGGGGAUGGACUCGCGGCUUAUCAGCUUGUUGGUGGGGUAGUGGCUUACCAAGGCUUUGACGGGUAGCCGGCCUGAGAGGGUGACCGGCCACAUUGGGACUGAGAUACGGCCCAGACUCCUACGGGAGGCAGCAGUGGGGAAUAUUGCACAAUGGGCGGAAGCCUGAUGCAGCAACGCCGCGUGCGGGAUGACGGCCUUCGGGCUGUAAACCGCUUUCGCCUGUGACGAAGCGUGAGUGACGGUAAUGGGUAAAGAAGCACCGGCUAACUACGUG
This 468-nucleotide ribosomal RNA is filed under the name uncultured bacterium. RNAcentral's name for it is "partial 16S ribosomal RNA". It matches the Rfam family "Bacterial small subunit ribosomal RNA", at positions 28 to 507 of the family's 1533-position model. The record is from RNAcentral.